UACAGAGGGGGCAAGCGUUAUUCGGAAUUAUUGGGCGUAAAGGGCGCGUAGGCGGCUUGGCAAGUGGAAGGUGAAAUCCCUCGGCUUAACCUGGGAACUGCGUCGGAUACUGGAUGGCUUGAAUCCGGGAGAGGGAUGCGGAAUUCCAGGUGUAGCGGUGAAAUGCGUAGAUAUCUGGAGGAACACCGGUGGCGAAGGCGGCAUCCUGGACCGGCAUUGACGCUGAGGAGCGAAAGCCAGGGGAGCAAACGGG
This 253-nucleotide ribosomal RNA is filed under the name uncultured bacterium. Its description in RNAcentral is "partial 16S ribosomal RNA". It matches the Rfam family "Bacterial small subunit ribosomal RNA", at positions 524 to 776 of the family's 1533-position model. The record is from RNAcentral.